UAAAGCAGUUUACAGAUAGAUAGAUAGACGAUAGAAAAAAAUGGCUCUCUGUCCCCCCAAGGGCUCAAAAUCUUAAAAAGAAACAUAAGACAGACAGCAGCAACAGCCACUAGAGGGAUACUGUGCUGGGGAUGGAGAAGGCCAUUUGCUCUCAAAAAAGGGAAUCGCCACUAUAACAGAAGAGAAUCAGCACUAUACUAUUUUGUUCACAUUGUCUUGUUGUAGGCAACCACAUUGCCUUGUGGUUGUCAGUUUGGGGGUGGAUUCCACAAAAAGAGGGAGAACCUGAAGUCAAAACACCUGUCUUUUCCAUCUCUUACAGACCAGCCUACUCCCUGUUGCUACAAUUAUGCAACCACAGAGCAACUAAGGACAUACGAGCACCAUUUGAAGAGUUAUUUCUUCACCAGCUGCCCCCAGAAAUCUGUAGUAUUUAUCACCGAGAGAAACCGAGCAACCUGUGCUGACCCAGAAGACAACUAUGUCAAGGAACUAAUGGGAAAACUGUCACCCCCUUAAGAAGUGGCUCUUCCAUCACUCUGGUGUCUACAGAAGAGUUAUUGCCAAGAAAAGCUACACCGGACCUCAACAUCAUCACUUCCUUGAUUCAAUGGAAGGAAGUUGCUUUCCAUUGAACUUCCUUUCCUUCUGCAAGGUCUGACACGUCUAGCUGUCAGAUCUUGGAGAAGUCCCAGGCAAAGAGAUUCCAUGGCCCACAGGGCAGAGAUUAUUUAAAAGCACUUUUCUCAAGCCAUCACAUUGACUGCCUUAAGUGGUAAAUAAAAAGUGAUCUGAGGAUUGCAGUUUUCCUCUCUCAGCUACAUCCGCUUGCUUGAUACAAAACAAUUUCCACGGUUUUGGAAAUGGUUCAUGAAGAAGAAGAAAAGAACUAUUUUCUAAUGGCUAUAAAAAAAAAAUUGGAAAGUGUAUCAAGCAAGCUGUUUUCCUAUGUAACUGCAGGCUAGAUGCAUUGUUAGGCCAAAGUGUUUGUAGCUGUGAGGAAUUUUCCACCCCGUAUUCUGAGAGUUUGAAUUCCGUUUUGGAUUUUAGACUUAGGAAUUUCCCACAGAAAUAUUUUUAGGUGAACAAACAUUGUAGGCUUCUACUAGAUUCGUGAACAAAUAGUCCUUUGGCCUGCAAAGCUCCUCUUAGGACUAGUAUGCAUAAGCCAAAGCGGGGGAAAGUACUUUUGAGAUCUAUUAUUUUUUCAGGAACUAACACCUUUUUCUUUGCAUUACCCAAUUAAGCUGCUUCAGGAAUCAUUCACAAAUCCUUCGAAACUACAGAGGAGUAAGGAUUGCUUGGAAAUGAUCCUCAACAUCUCCACAAACUAUAGUUCCCAGAGGAUUUAGGAGAAAGCCAGGCCUAAGUGGUAAAAACUGAUAAAAAGGUGUAGUUUAGAUCUACCCAAACAGACAAAAAAUGUGCUGAAGAGUUUAGCUGGGAAGACUUGAAUGUAAUCUGAAAUUUGCAACAAAACCUUUUUGUGCCCUUGAGUCAGUGUUGACUCCUGGCGACCCCAGAGCCCUUUAGUAGAAUACAGGAGGGGUUGACCAUUGCCUCCUCCCAUGCAGUACAAGAUUAUGCCUUUCAGCACCUUCUGAUAUCGCUGCUGCCCGAUUUAGGUGUUACUAGUUGGGAUUCAAAUCAGCAACCUCUUACUCACUAGGCAAGUCAUUUCCCAAACGUAGCCAAAUAGAAUUCCCGGCACGUACAAACUCCUGUGAAUCUAGUUCCAUAUCCCUUUACAUAUUUAAGAAGCAGGUUCUUUGCUUUGUCCUCUAGAUGAACGAGCCCAUGAGAUGUAACUUAUUGCUAUUCUAAUUUAUACUGUGUUAUUUUAAGGUGUAGUCUGUAUGCUAUUUAUCAUAGCCUGUCUGCAGGCCAGAAGUUCUUCUUCUCUCUCAGUGGCUUCCAAAAAUAAAAAUGUCCUUUGAUUUA
Long non-coding RNA from Hemicordylus capensis (graceful crag lizard), 1941 nucleotides. RefSeq lists it as uncharacterized. The record is from RefSeq and is a predicted model, not a curated record. The transcript has 2 exons. Lineage: Eukaryota; Metazoa; Chordata; Lepidosauria; Squamata; Cordylidae.